AUACGGAGGGUGCGAGCGUUAAUCGGAAUUACUGGGCGUAAAGCGCGCGUAGGCGGUUUGGUCAGUCGGAUGUGAAAGCCCCAGGCUCAACCUGGGAAUGGCAUUCGAUACUGCCUGACUAGAGUAUGGUAGAGGGAAGUGGAAUUUCCGGUGUAGCGGUGAAAUGCGUAGAUAUCGGAAGGAACACCAGUGGCGAAGGCGACUUCCUGGGCCAAUACUGACGCUACGGUGCGAAAGCGUGGGGAGCAAACAGGAUUAGAAACCCCAGUAGUCC
RNAcentral lists this ribosomal RNA (274 nucleotides) under uncultured bacterium. RNAcentral describes it as "partial 16S ribosomal RNA". It matches the Rfam family "Bacterial small subunit ribosomal RNA", at positions 523 to 796 of the family's 1533-position model. The record is from RNAcentral.